CCUACGGGAGGCAGCAGUGAGGAAUAUUGGUCAAUGGACGGAAGUCUGAACCAGCCAUCCCGCGUGCAGGACGACGGCCCUAUGGGUUGUAAACUGCUUUUCUGAAGGAAGAAUAAUCCCGACGUGUCGGGAGACGACGGUACUUCAGGAAUAAGCAUCGGCUAACUCCGUGCCAGCAGCCGCGGUAAUACGGAGGAUGCAAGCGUUAUCCGGAUUUAUUGGGUUUAAAGGGUGCGUAGGCGGAUUAAUAAGUCAGUGGUGAAAUCUUUCGGCUCAACCGAGAAACUGCCAUUGAUACUGUUAAUCUUGAGUUCGGUUGAGGUAGGCGGAAUGUGUAAUGUAGCGGUGAAAUGCUUAGAUAUUACACAGAACACCAAUUGCGUAGGCAGCUUACUAGACCGAUACUGACGCUGAGGCACGAAAGCGUGGGUAGCGAACAGGAUUAGAUACCCUGGUAGUCCACGCCGUAAACGAUGAUUACUCGUUGUUGGCGAUACACAGUCAGCGACCAAGCGAAAGCGAUAAGUAAUCCACCUGGGGAGUACGCUCGCAAGAGUGAAACUCAAAGGAAUUGACGGGGGCCCGCACAAGCGGUGGAACAUGUGGUUUAAUUCGAUGAUACGCGAGGAACCUUACCUGGGCUUAAAUGUAGAGUGCAUGAUCGGGAAACUGAUCUUUCCUUCGGGACUCUUUACAAGGUGCUGCAUGGUUGUCGUCAGCUCGUGCCGUGAGGUGUCGGGUUAAGUCCCAUAACGAGCGCAACCCCUAUCAUUAGUUGCCAUCGGGUAAAGCCGGGGACUCUAGUGAAACUGCCACCGUAAGGUGAGAGGAAGGUGGGGAUGACGUCAAAUCAGCACGGCCCUUAUGUCCAGGGCUACACACGUGUUACAAUGGUCGGUACAGAGGGCAGCUACCUGGUGACAGGAUGCGAAUCUCUAAAGCCGGUCCAAGUUCGGAUCGAAGUCUGCAACUCGACUUCGUGAAGCUGGAAUCGCUAGUAAUCGUAUAUCAGCAAUGAUACGGUGAAUACGUUCCCGGGCCUUGUACACACCGCCCGUCAAGCCAUGGAAGCUGGGGGUGCCUGAAGUUCGUAACCGUAAGGAGCGACCUAGGGUAAAACUAGUGACUGGGGCUAAGUCGUAACAAGGUAACC
Molecule: ribosomal RNA, 1153 nt
Filed under: uncultured Bacteroidota bacterium
Lineage: Bacteria; Pseudomonadati; Bacteroidota
Description: bacterial SSU rRNA
Rfam family: Bacterial small subunit ribosomal RNA
Source: RNAcentral